UCGCACGGGACAAAUUCCGUCUUAGAAUUAACCAUAUUUUAAUUUAGUAGUUCGCUAUACAUACAUAUGCAUCUAAGGUCUCAGCAAUGUAAGUGAAUAUUAAAACUAUUUUAAUAUUGGUUAAAGAACAAAUCACCCAAAAACUUUUAAAUUUUAGAUGAAAAUGGAAAUCAUAUUCCUCAAUCAGUGAUCGAUUCAAAUGACAAUUCCAUCGAUCUAAGGAAUGAACAUGACGAAAAGACAAAAACUAAUGUCAGCAGCGAAAAAAGCUACAGAAAGUCUGCGCAAGAAAAUGCAAAGUCAAAUAUUGUAUCCUUAACUCAGAGAGCAGCAGUCAUAUCGCAGACAAAUAAUUCAACAAUGUACCGUUCUCACAUAUUUUGCGAAAUCUAAAAGGAGCUUGAUAAAACUACAAGAAAUUGAAAAGGAAAGAAAAAUCCUCAAGCGCAAGCAACAAAUUACAGAAGAUCUAACUAAAUACAGGCAGACUAAACAACAAAAAUUGAGUUGCCUAUUUGAAGAAAUUCCUAAAGCUAAAAGUCUUUGUAGCCAACAAUCUUCAGCCGGCAGACCCCCGAUUGAAGACGAUCAACCGCUUCUCCAUAAAACUAUUUUGGAGAUAGCCAUGUUUGGAAGUGGAGCUGAUGAAAGGAGGCGCACUAACCUUGUCAGAAGUGUGAAAACCUUGUCUGAUCUCCAUGAAGAGCUCAAAAAAGAAGGGUUUAACUUAUCGAGAAGCGCAACCUAUCUAAGACUAUUGCCCAGAAGCUCUUCCUCGAUUGAAGGAAAACGUCAUGUGAGAACGGUACCGGUAAAGCUUUGUCGAGCCCAAGCAGAUUAUCACAAGCAGCAUAUAGAUGGAUAUUUUGCUACAUCACCUAUAAAAUAUCUUGAAAGCGUUGCCUCUGUUCUCGGAACUGCUCAAGGGUUUUUUUGUCACAAGGCAUGGCUAGGGUGCCAAUUGGUUUGACUGCUGCAAAUGAGCAAGCACCUCUGCUUAUGCAUCUUGAAUACAAGGUCAAGCUGCCAGAUCACGUUUGGGUUUGUUGCCCCAAGGCAUAAGCUAAUUCCCUCAGUUUAUGCGAAGGAAAAAGUGCUUUCAACCGAGUCGAAAGGAGAAUGGCCCCACUAAGCCGGGAAUUUUCUGUGUUGAUUUUGCCACACGACAUGUUUGGAAGCUAUUUGGAUAACAAAGGCAGAGCCACAGACUUCUACUUAGGGAAAACAAAUUUUGAAUUCGCCGGGAGAACAUUAGCCAAAGUUUGGGGAAACAUGGUUCUCGAUGACUUUCCUGUGACUGCCAAAUAUUGUCUACCUAACGAAGAAGAGGCAGAACUGGAUGACAGAGAUCAGUACUGGUAUUAAGAACAUGAUCGUGAGACUCAAUACUUUUUGCAAAUUGUGAAAUGCCGUUCUGAAGAAUGUGGAUUACUUCAAAUUCUACCUGAUAUAUAAAUUUGUUCAUUUUUUUGGUUUUGCGUACGAAUUUGUUAAUUUUUGCAAUUAUCAGAACAGAAAACAAAAUAGAAACAAAAAU
This is a long non-coding RNA of Drosophila nasuta, 1537 nucleotides long. RefSeq lists it as uncharacterized. The transcript has 3 exons. The record is from RefSeq and is a predicted model, not a curated record. Lineage: Eukaryota; Metazoa; Arthropoda; Insecta; Diptera; Drosophilidae.